UAUGCUUAGCCGUAAACCCCUUUCACCCUCCCCCCGCCAGGGAAUUACGAGCCAUGCUUAAAACCCAAAGGACUUGACGGUGCCCCAUCCAACUAGAGGAGCCUGUUCUAUAAUUGAUGAUCCCCGCUUUACCUUACCCCUACUAGUCCAUCAGCCUGUAUACCUCCGUCGCAAGCCUACCGUAUGAACGUCAAACAGUAAGCUUAAUUAUUCCCCCAUAAACACGUCAGGUCAAGGUGCAGCCCACGUAGUGGAAAGUAAUGGGCUACAAUUUCUAUGCUAGAACAUACAGAAGGUGGCACGAAAUUGCUGCUAGAAGGCGGAUUUAGUAGUAAGAAGAAAAUAUAGAGUUCUUCUUAAUCCGGACCUGGGUCGCGUACAAACCGCCCGUCACCCUCUUCAACAACCCCCCCCCAGCCUCCCUAAAAAAUAUUAUUCACAAGAAGAGGUAAGUCGUAACAUGGUAAGCAUACUGGAAAGUGUGCUUGGAACAA
This 494-nucleotide ribosomal RNA is filed under the name Platymantis sp. 31 CDS-2015. RNAcentral's name for it is "partial 12S ribosomal RNA". It matches the Rfam family "Bacterial small subunit ribosomal RNA", at positions 791 to 1525 of the family's 1533-position model. The record is from RNAcentral. Lineage: Eukaryota; Metazoa; Chordata; Amphibia; Anura; Ceratobatrachidae.